CAGCAGUGGGGAAUAUUGGGCAAUGGGCGCAAGCCUGACCCAGCAACGCCGCGUGAGGGAAGAAGGUUUUCGGAUUGUAAACCUCUGUCCUUGGGGACGAAAAAAAUGACGGUACCCAAGGAAGAAGCUCCGGCUAACUACGUG
This 144-nucleotide ribosomal RNA is filed under the name uncultured bacterium. RNAcentral's name for it is "partial 16S ribosomal RNA". It matches the Rfam family "Bacterial small subunit ribosomal RNA", at positions 349 to 507 of the family's 1533-position model. The record is from RNAcentral.